Molecule: ribosomal RNA, 326 nt
Filed under: uncultured eukaryote
Lineage: Eukaryota
Description: partial 18S ribosomal RNA
Rfam family: Eukaryotic small subunit ribosomal RNA
Source: RNAcentral
CCCUUAGAUGUUCUGGGCCGCACGCGCGCUACACUGAUGAAUUCAACGAGCACUAACCUGUGCCGAAAGGUUCGGGUAAUCUUGUGAAAUUUCAUCGUGAUGGGGAUUGAUUAUUGCAAUUUUUAAUCAUAAACGAGGAAUGCCUAGUAAGCGUGAGUCAUCAGCUCACGUUGAUUACGUCCCUGCCCUUUGUACACACCGCCCGUCGCUCCUACCGAUUGAAUGUACCAGUGAAAAGUUCGGAUUGGAGAUAGGAAACGGCAACGUAUCCUAUUUCCGAGAAAAUCUUUAAACUUUCCCAUUUAGAGGAAGGAGAAGUCGUAACA